CACAAGAUGGCGCUGUCUGUCUUACCUCAGGGGCUACGAGCGCGCUCGUUACUGCUGCCGCUUUCUGAGAGAAGUGUUUUAUGUGACUUGUUAAGAAGUUGUUUGUCAUCAGAAUGAGCAUUUUAACCGUUUAACAGAGAAGGUUUUCUUACCAAAGACAUUAAAUCAGUUCUUCACUUUAUUGCUGUGUGCCUCAGUGUGUUAAUUUUGACAGGUAUAAUUCAGAAAAACUGUUUUUCUUGAGUUUCCAGUACUACACAUGUACUAAAGAUAUGAGUAUCAUAAAACAUACCAAAAAUACCUUUCCACAGAAUUUAUGAGCUCUUGUUUGAAUAUUAACCAUUGCGAUUGCAAGUUUACUGUUUUCUGAUAUGUAUGACUUUUAUGAAUGAGGUGGACAUUCACCCUACUCCACAGGAUAAGCAGACUUUCAAUGGCUUAGAUGGCAGUGGAGUUUUCACAGAGAUGGACUCGUCCUGGUGUCCACCCCUGUGUGUUCUAUGAGGACUCGCUCGAGCUGCACAUGGUGCUGCUGGAACUGGAGGAUGUGGAGAAACAGAUCCGUGACCUACUCGACAAGCAGGCCCAGCUGCUGGAGCGAAGAACUGCGCUGGAAACAUCUUGUGCUUCUGCCUACACAUCCAAGGUAAGCACGCAGCAUGGUAUUACCACUCUCAGCCCCUCUACGCCGUGUGUUUCUCUUUGCAGUGACCAUGUACCCAAGACUUUUCCAGCCGAGGUCUCAGUCACACCGGCGCCGACACACCUUGGGUGCACCAGCAGCGAAAGGCGAGAGCCAUACCCCAGGCGAUAACCUCUCCAUCUCCGGUGUUUGAGAUCCCAACCAGGAACCGCUUCACCCCUCACUGUCAGACCAGACCAAACGAUGUGAUCGUCGGGGACUCCAUUGUGCGAAACGACCGCGUCGCUUCAACAAAGGGUAAGGUGCACACACAUUGUUUUCCUGGUGCUCGUGUCCUUGAUGUUGCUGCGCAGGUAUCUGGGAUCCUGAAGAAGGACGAGCGCAUUGGAGCGGCCAUGCUGCACGCGGGGGCAAACGACAUCAGGCUGCGGCAGACGGAGUUUCUGAAGAGGGACUUCGCCAGCCUGAUCGAGACGGUAUGAGGCAGAUCACCCACCGCGAAGAUCAUCGUCUCUUGACCUCUUCCCUCAUACAGACGUGGAGCUGAAUAUUUCAGUAGACUUCUUGCUUUGAAUGACUGGUUAGUUUAUUGGUGUAAUGCAGGGGUUCCCAAACUUUUCCAGGGCAAGGCCCCCCAAAUGGCAUUAACAUUUGAUCGCGGCCCCCCUUUUGCAAGAUGUCCUUAAAACACAUUAAAAAUACAGACUUCUGAAUAUAUCCCCCUUUUUUUACGUUGAUGUUUUGUCUGUUUAGCAAUUAAAAAGUUAGGUAUAGCAAAUGUGAUUUUUAAUAUGUAUUGGUACAAAUCACAUGUUAUAGUAAUGCGCAUAUAUAUAAUCUCAAUAUCAUGUAUUUAUUUGUUUUUCACACCAAAUUGUUGAGGCCCCCCUGGUGGCCCCCACUUUUAAAACCACUGGUGUAAUGAACAGUAUCUGCUGUUUGUUAAUAACUGGAAUCUGUUCUGGGAGCGUCCUAGGUUGUUUCGUUCUGAUGGCCUGCACCCCAGCAGCCUCGGACCGGAACUGCUGUCUGACAACAUCUCCAAGGCGCUACACACCAAGUGACUGCCUACUAGUUUGAUUUAACACACCGAUGUUGGAGUGAAGUAAACGUGUGUCCUGCUGUAAUCUGGAGAAGGAGACAUGACCUCCAACAUGAGUGUGUCUGGAGAACAGGAUUUAAAGAAAGACGAGAGAAUGAUGGAGGGAAAGAGAUCAGACUCACCAGAACCCAGCUGUGUGUCCAUGAAGAGUGACCGGUCAAUGGAGCAUCCAAUUUUCUUCAGAGACAGAGCCAGUUCUCCUGAUGUGAGGUCAGUACAGUGAGGUGUUUUACAGCAGUGUUCCACCUGAUCAAACUCACUGGUCUCAUUAUGAAGCCCUUCAUGAUCUUUAUCAGGUGUUGAAGCAGUAAAACACUAAAGUGUGCAGUGCUGCAGCUCUCAGACUGGCAGUGAGGAAAACUGCAUUAGGAGUUCAGUUCAGCCUGCAGUCCCUGAGCUGGAGGGUCUGUGGUGCUACACGACAACAUUUACACCUGGGACAUUAAUGACUAGAUCACUAUUUUAUUCAUAAACAUGUUAGUGUCAGUAAGGAAUCCCUGAAAUCAGUGUAUUGUGUUAAGAGGAUAGUGUUAAA
Long non-coding RNA from Ictalurus furcatus (blue catfish), 2280 nucleotides. RefSeq lists it as uncharacterized. Lineage: Eukaryota; Metazoa; Chordata; Actinopteri; Siluriformes; Ictaluridae. The transcript is spliced from 4 exons. The record is from RefSeq and is a predicted model, not a curated record.